GGGAGAGCUACUCUUUCCGCUGCGCUCGAUGGUGACGCGGUCGCCUAGCCGGUAGUCUGGGAGGCCUUCGCCGCGGAGUCGGCGCGCGAAAACUAUUUGGAGAUUAUGGAUGCUAAGCCCGAACCUGGACCCCUCAGUGAGAGUUCAGAACUUCUUUUCUCAUUUGGAGUUAUAGCAGAUAUUCAAUAUGCUGAUUUGGAAGAUGGCUAUAAUUUCCAAGGAAGCAGACGGAGAUACUACAGACACAGUCUUCUUCACUUACAGGGUGCUAUCGAACACUGGAAUAAAGAAAGCAGCCCACCCAGCUGUGUACUUCAGCUUGGAGACAUCAUCGAUGGAUAUAAUGCACAGCAUAAAGCAUCAGAAAAGUCACUAGAACUCAUCAUGAACACAUUCCAAAGGCUGAAAGUCCCAGUUCAUCACACGUGGGGAAAUCAUGAAUUCUAUAACUUCAGCAGAGACUAUUUAACAAACUCCAAACUUAACACAAAGUUUCUGGAGGACCAGAUUGCCCAUCAUCCUGAGACUGUGCCUUCAGAGAAUUAUUAUGCUUAUCAUUUUGUACCAUUCCCUAAAUUCCGGUUCAUUUUACUCGAUGCUUAUGACAUGAGUAUCUUGGGCGUGGAUCAGUCUUCUCCAAAAUACCAGCAGUGUCUGAAGAUACUGAGGGAGCACAAUCCAAAUACGGAAUUGAAUAGUCCUCAAGGACUUGCUGAGCCCCAGUUUGUCCAGUUUAAUGGAGGAUUCAGCCAAGAACAGCUGAACUGGCUGAAUGAAGUUCUUACAUUCUCUGACAGAAACCAAGAAAAGGUGGUGAUUGUGAAAGUCAGUGUGCAGCAUCCGUGGACCUGCCUGGGACCCAGAGGUCUGGCACUUUCUGUUCAAACCCCUCCUGCCUCCCGCUACUGCUACAACCUAAUGUUUCAGAAUCACGGGCAGAGUCACGGUACACCUGCACAUCUCCACCUGAGGGCUGGACUCCUACCACCUGGCAGCAGAGGGAAAAGAGCACAGUGCAUGUUUGGAAGACCCAAGAUAGAGACUGAACUGAACGCGGAAAGCUGCAGCCUGGUGGCGAGACGUGCAGUGAGGCCCAGCCGAGCCAGAAAAAGCAAACGUCGGAAAGAAAAAAGAGGCCACCACAGAACGCGACAGCCUCUUGCGAAGAUCAUUUGCCAGUUUUCCCAACACCAUUUGUUGAAUAACCUACCCCUUAUUUACUGAUCUGAAAUGCCAACUUCAUCAUGAAACACAUUCUCAUGUGGUCUUGGAUCCAUCACUGAGAAAGCAACUAAAGGAUAUACUCCAACAAAAUUAGAUCAUAAUUCAAGAAAAUGAAAGACCAAAGACUCAGAAAAGUGGGGAAAGGGGAUGGAGGGAUGUCCCAGCUGACAGUGUGGCUUCAAACCUAGAGAUGGAGCAGAAGGAUGGAGGGCUCAAGUAGUGAUGUCUCCUGAAAAAGCUCCAGGCAAAGCUCCAUUGGAAACGGGAUAUGACUUUCCAGUUGAUACCAUGAAGAAAUAUCAGCUCACUGGUCACAAUCCAGUGGUUUGAACGAGCUGUCUUUUGAGGAGUAGGAGAUUCGAGCAGAAGAUGGGAGAAGAUGGAGGUCACUUCAAGCCCAGUUUAAUGUGUCCAAAGAGGUUACAGACAAACCAGGUUGGGACGUCGGGGGACAGAAGCAAGGAUCUGAGACAGCCCUGACAAUUCUUCCUUUCAAGUCGUUCUCGGAUUUGUGAGCCAGGAAAACGAAGGCAGCCCCAGUGCUUGAGACCUCUUGAAUUUCCAUGUGCUUCCACCCUUCAGGACACCUCUCCCAGGUUGCUCUCUGUAAGAAAAAUGAGAGUGGCUCACAGCCUGAGCUGGCCCACGAUUCAUGUGCAGGGAAAGGCGGAGCAAAGGAGGAAAUAGAAGAAGAGAAGCAGAAGGUGGAAAGCAGGUGGGUGAGGCUUCUUCAAAAAGAAGAGAGGAAAGCGAGGAAGGCUGCCACAAUCAAGAGGAAAACAACACAGAUUUGCCGAAAGUGUUCCUCGCAGAGCUGUCACAUUCUGAUGCAGUAGGUGUCAGGACUUCAACUUACGAAUUUUGGGAGAACACAAUCCAGCCUUUAACAGUACCUGAAGGAUGAAGAUCCCGCUCUAUAAUAAUGUGGAGCUGAGCGUGCCAGGUAGAGGGCAAAGCAGAAGCAGAAACAAGUUUGACGUGCAAAAGGCAGACCCGCAGUCAACGCUGGAACACAGAGAGGAAGGGGCUUCGGCUUCAUCGUCACUGUGAACAUUCCUUUAAACAUCGCAUCAUGGGUGCUGUCACGGAAAGUCUGAGCUGCCCGGUGAUCAUAUGCAAUCCUCAGGGGUCCAAUCAGUUCUACUUUGGACACAUGGCUCAGAGCCCAGGCCUCCUCUGCAUCCCCACCAGCAGGCUUUGGCUAAUCUUGUCCGCACUGGACCGGGAGCCAUAUCCUGAGUCCCUUUGCAUCUCUAGCAUGAACCACGGACACUGGGGUGCAUUGGCCCUCAAGAACGGUUUGUUGAGCCACAGGUAAAGGAAAUCAUCAGCUUUCUUAGGGGUGGUGAUCUGAAGAGUGGGAGCAAGGAAGGAACGACGGGGCUGAGGUGAAGACAGGGGACCCGGCUCUCGCUGUGAUCCCUGUUUUUCCUGCACGUGAACGGCAAGGUGUUUGGGUGCUAGUUUCUUGCCCCCUGUGCUCCCCGUAAGCUGGCCCCCCGUGUGACUGCAGGGAACAUCUUGGCAAAGAGGCCUCUUCAGAGUGUCUCAGCACGAUGGAGAGCGGACAUCGCUGCCAGUCACGGAGGACACGUGUCUCCGGAACCACCGAGUUCCAACCAGUAGCCUCGCCGAGUUCUGGCAAUCUGUGUGUGAAUUGUGCCCUACUCCAAAGUGUACCCAGAUUGGGGGUGGGGGACGGUCACCCCCUCCUUUGAAACUGCUGUUCCUCUCCAUUUGCUGCCGCAGAUGCCAACACAAUUCUUGUUGCAUUAACUUGGCUGGGAGAGUGAGGAAAUGGCAGCAGCAUUAAUUAAAAAUAAUAUGCCACCCAGGAGAUAGCUUGAGCUCGCUCCUUUUCUUAGUAUUCCUCUCGAUUCUUCUCCUUCCAGCUUGCGGCUGACGCGCUAUAGGUGCCAGGGAGGGGAACCCGUGAUGUUCAGGAGAAGGAUGACAGAAGAGUGAGAGAUUUUAGAGAGAGGGGCUCCAAAUGUGAUGAAAAUCUUCAACCUUACAGGUAUCUGUAAGGCAGAGUUUUGAAGGCACUAAAAAGAAUAGUAAAAAAAUCAGGGGGAAAGAACUGGAUUCCUGAAGUUAGGGGGACAAGGGAAGGAUUGGCAGAAAGUGGUAUAAGUGGAUACUUUUAAAAAAUAAAUAAGAGAAGAAAUACCAUUCUACAAGAAAAGGGACCAGGUCUCUUUGGAGAAAUGGCCGUCAAUGGUUGGGGCAGGAAAUGUAUAACUUUGUAAGAAGGUCUUAUAGUGCUGAAAAGUAAAGCAGUGUUCAGAAACAAACAACCUAAAACCCCAAUGGCGGUGUGUAUGUCAAAUGGACACAAGAACCAACUGAAAGAGCUCGUGACGGGCAAAGCUGGGCCAACUUGAACAAGAAAAUGAAUGAUGUAGUGUCAGAUUAUAGCCCAAAGUAUAAGUAUCCAUGAGUCCAUACUGAUGUAGAUAAAUGAUUGAAUAUAUACAUAAGUGGAGGAGAAAAGACAAAUCUCUUGUGCAGAAGAAUUCCAAAUAAUUGAGGUACGUGCACCCCCUUCAUGGAGGUGGAGAGUAAAUCUCCACUCCUUACAUGUGACCUGUGCUUAGUGACUUCCUUCCAAAGAGUACGGUAUGCAUAACUUCAUAGUGGAGAAAUCUGACAAACACUGCCUCAGCAGCGGUUAUCAAGGUCAAUGUCAUUAUGGUUAAAUCACAUUAAUAGCUGGUAUCCUUGAUAUGAUGAGAAUGAUACUUCACCUCAGUGACCUUCCUGCCCCAAACCCAUAACUCCAGUCUACCCAUGAGAAAUAUCAUCAGAGAAACCCAAGUGGAAGGACAUUCUACAGAAUACCUGACCCAUAAUCCUCCAAUCUGUCAAAGUCAUCAAAAACAAGAAAUGUCUGAGAAAGUGUCACAGACCAGAGGGGCCUAAGGAGACUUGAUGGCUAAAUGUAACGUGAUAUCCUAGAUGGGGUCCUGGAACAGAAAAAAAGGACAUUAGGGAAAAACUAAAGAUAUCUCAAUAGAGGUUGGACCUUUGUUAACAAUAAAGUAUUAGUAUCACUGCUUGGAACCAUCGGCGUCCACUACAAUGUGAAAGUGGGUCCAGACUGAAAAGAAAAACCCUUACCAUUGCCAUCCCAGCCCAGAAGCUUCACAAUCACCUUCACAGCCAUGCUUACGUUGUAAAAAAUUAUGGCUGUUGCAAGCUGUGGUUUUUAAAUUUAAUGUUGUUCUAAAUGCCUAUAAUUUCAGGUAGUCUCCUUUGGAAGUGAAAGCAAUAUUUUCAGCAUUCCAAUUUAUUUGUUCUAGGCUUGUUGACAGAGUAGGAUGACUGAGCCGUAGAAGGAAAGAAGCAAAUUUGGGGAAGGAUCCAUGGAGUUGACAUAUGCAUUAUUCAAAAUUAAACAAUCCUCGUAAACCCAUGUGUCCCCCCUGCUGCACCCUACAAAGUGUGUUAUUUCUUUUCCUGACUAACAUUUUCCUCUUAAUGCUGAAUUAAUAAAGUUAUUUUCAUUUCAUUA
Molecule: RNA transcript, 4738 nt
Organism: Balaenoptera ricei (Rice's whale)
Lineage: Eukaryota; Metazoa; Chordata; Mammalia; Artiodactyla; Balaenopteridae
Gene: ADPRM
Gene name: ADP-ribose/CDP-alcohol diphosphatase, manganese dependent
Exons: 13
Source: RefSeq, a predicted model, not a curated record